RNAcentral lists this ribosomal RNA (742 nucleotides) under uncultured Verrucomicrobiota bacterium. Its description in RNAcentral is "bacterial SSU rRNA". It matches the Rfam family "Bacterial small subunit ribosomal RNA", at positions 105 to 859 of the family's 1533-position model. Lineage: Bacteria; Pseudomonadati; Verrucomicrobiota. The record is from RNAcentral.
GGUGCGUAACACGUGAGCAAUCUGCCGGGAAGUGGGGGAUAGCUCGCCGAAAGGCGAAUUAAUACCGCAUGUGGCCAGAGGGGACAUCCCUUCGACGCCAAAGUCGCAAGACGCUUCCUGAUGAACUCGCGGCCUAUCAGCUUGUUGGUGAGGUAACGGCUCACCAAGGCUAUGACGGGUAGCUGGUCUGAGAGGACGACCAGCCACACUGGAACUGAGACACGGUCCAGACACCUACGGGUGGCAGCAGUCGAGAAUUUUUCACAAUGGGGGAAACCCUGAUGGAGCGACGCCGCGUGGAGGAUGAAGGUCUUCGGAUUGUAAACUCCUGUCAUGCGAGAACAAGAAAGUGAUAGUAUCGCAAGAGGAAGAGACGGCUAACUCUGUGCCAGCAGCCGCGGUAAUACAGAGGUCUCAAGCGUUGUUCGGAUUCAUUGGGCGUAAAGGGUGCGUAGGCGGCGUGGUAAGUUGAGUGUGAAAUCCUAGGGCUUAACCUUAGAACUGCACUCAAUACUGCCAUGCUAGAGGAAUGUAGAGGAGAGUGGAAUUCACGGUGUAGCAGUGAAAUGCGUAGAUAUCGUGAGGAAGACCAGUUGCGAAGGCGACUCUCUGGGCAUUUCCUGACGCUGAGGCACGAAGGCCAGGGGAGCAAACGGGAUUAGAUACCCCGGUAGUCCUGGCAGUAAACGGUGCACGUUUGGUGUGGGCGGGUUCAGACCCCGUCCGUGCCGGAGCUAACGCG